This 137-nucleotide ribosomal RNA is filed under the name Curvibasidium nothofagi. Its description in RNAcentral is "[Rhodotorula] nothofagi 5.8S ribosomal RNA". It matches the Rfam family "5.8S ribosomal RNA", at positions 4 to 140 of the family's 154-position model. Rfam says of the family: 5.8S ribosomal RNA (5.8S rRNA) is a component of the large subunit of the eukaryotic ribosome. Lineage: Eukaryota; Fungi; Basidiomycota; Microbotryomycetes. The record is from RNAcentral.
UUUCAACAACGGAUCUCUUGGCUCUCGCAUCGAUGAAGAACGCAGCGAAAUGUGAUAAGUAAUGUGAAUUGCAGAAUUCAGUGAAUCAUCGAAUCUUUGAACGCACCUUGCGCUCUCUGGUAUUCCGGAGAGCAUGU